GUCACGGCUUACUACGUGCCAGCAGCCGCGGUAAUACGUAGGUGGCAAGCGUUAUCCGGAUUUAUUGGGCGUAAAGGGUGCGCAGGCGGUCUAUUAAGUUUGGGGUGAAAGCGUGAAGCUCAACUUCAUUUAGCCUCAAAAACUGGUAGACUAGAGUGCAGAAGAGGGUAGUGGAAUUCCAUGUGUAGCGGUAAAAUGCGUAGAUAUAUGGAGGAACACCAGUGGCGAAGGCGGCUACCUGGUCUGUAACUGACGCUCAGGCACGAAAGCGUGGGGAGCAAAUAGGAUUAGAUACCCUAGUAGUCCACGCCCUAAACGAUGAGAACUAAGUGUUGGAGUAAUUCAGUGCUGCAGUUAACGCAAUAAGUUCUCCGCCUGAGGAGUAUGCACGCA
This 393-nucleotide ribosomal RNA is filed under the name uncultured bacterium. RNAcentral's name for it is "bacterial SSU rRNA". It matches the Rfam family "Bacterial small subunit ribosomal RNA", at positions 490 to 890 of the family's 1533-position model. The record is from RNAcentral.